Molecule: ribosomal RNA, 503 nt
Filed under: uncultured bacterium
Lineage: Bacteria
Description: partial 16S ribosomal RNA
Rfam family: Bacterial small subunit ribosomal RNA
Source: RNAcentral
GACGAACGCUGGCGGCGUGCCUAAUACAUGCAAGUAGAACGCACAGUUUAUACCGUAGCUUGCUACACCAUAGACUGUGAGUUGCGAACGGGUGAGUAACGCGUAGGUAACCUGCCUGGUAGCGGGGGAUAACUAUUGGAAACGAUAGCUAAUACCGCAUAAUAUUAAUUAUUGCAUGAUAAUUAAUUGAAAGGUGCAAUUGCACCACUACCAGAUGGACCUGCGUUGUAUUAGCUAGUAGGUGAGGUAACGGCUCACCUAGGCGACGAUACAUAGCCGACCUGAGGGGGGGAUCGGCCACACUGGGACUGAGAAACGGCCCAGACUCCUACGGGAGGCAGGAGGAGGGAAUCUUCGGAAAGGGCAGAAAGUCUGACCGAGCAACGCCGCGUGAGUGAAGAAGGUUUUCGGAUCGUAAAGCUCUGUUGUAAGAGAAGAACGGGUGUGAGAGUGAAAAGUUCACACUGUGACGGUAUCUUACCAGAAAGGGACGGCUAACUACG